This 1123-nucleotide ribosomal RNA is filed under the name uncultured archaeon. RNAcentral describes it as "bacterial SSU rRNA". It matches the Rfam family "Archaeal small subunit ribosomal RNA", at positions 325 to 1450 of the family's 1478-position model. The record is from RNAcentral.
ACGGGGCGCAGCAGGCGCGAAAACUCCGCAAUGCACGAAAGUGCGACGGGGUUACCUCGAGUGCCGUCUGAUGAAGGCGGCUUUUCCACAGUUUAAGGAGCUGUGGAAUAAGAGGGGGGCAAGACUGGUGUCAGCCGCCGCGGUAACACCAGCCCCUCGAGUGGUGGAGACGAUUAUUGGGCCUAAAGCGUCCGUAGCCGGCCCGGUAAGCCCCCUGUUAAAUCCGAUGUUCCAAGCUUCGGACUGCGGGGGAUACUGUCGGGCUAGAGGGUGGGAGAGGCCAGCGGUAUUCCCGGGGUAGGGGCGAAAUCCAUUGAUCCCGGGAGGACCACCAGUGGCGAAGGCGGCUGGCUUGAACACGCCUGACGGUGAGGGACGAAAGCUGGGGGAGCGAAUCGGAUUAGAUACCCGAGUAGUCCCGGCUGUAAACGAUGUAGGCUAGGUGUUGGGGCGGCCAUGGGCCGCCCCCCGGUGCGCAGGGAAGCCCUUAAGCCUACCGCCUGGGGAGUACGGCCGCAAGGCUGAAACUUAAAGGAAUUGGCGGGGGGGUACCACCAGGCGUGAAGCCUGCGGUUUAAUUGGAGUCAACGCCGGGAAACUUACCGGGAGCGACAGCAGGAUGAAGGCCAGGUUGAAGGUCUUGCCAGACGAGCUGAGAGGAGGUGCAUGGCCGUCGCCAGUUCGUGCCGUGAGGUGUCCUCUUAAGUGAGGUAACGAACGAGACCCGCGCCCCAUGUUGCCAACAAAUCCUAAUGGAUGUUGGGCACACUUGGGGGACCGCCGCCGAUGAGGCGGAGGAAGGUGCGGGCAACGGCAGGUCAGUAUGCCCCGAAUCUCCCGGGCCACACGCGGGCUGCAAUGGUAGGGACAGAGGGCUGCAACCCCGAAAGGGGAAGCUAAUCCCUAAACCCUACCUCAGUUGGGAUCGAGGGCUGCAACCCGCCCUCGUGAACAUGGAAUGCCUAGUAACUGCGCGUCAUCAUCGCGCGGUGAAUACGUCCCUGCUCCUUGCACACACUGCCCGUCGAACCAGCCAAAUGGAGUUUGGAUGAGGCGUGGUCGAAGGUUGGCCGCGUCGAAUCCGAGCUCCGUGAGGAGGGUUAAGUCGUAACAAGGUAGCCGU